UCCUGUAUCGAAAGUGAUCAUGGCGCUCCAGUUGCCAGGUCAUUGAUAGUACAGGAAUAUUAAGAUGGGAGCCUUUCCCGUGUUUGUUGGACCGUCUGUUCCUGUCAAACCCUGUUGCUCUCAGACA
Molecule: small nucleolar RNA, 127 nt
Organism: Myripristis murdjan (pinecone soldierfish)
Lineage: Eukaryota; Metazoa; Chordata; Actinopteri; Holocentriformes; Holocentridae
Gene: SNORA71
Rfam family: Small nucleolar RNA SNORA71
About the family: The members of this family belong to the H/ACA class of snoRNAs which bind a number of proteins (including dyskerin, Gar1p and Nop10p) to form snoRNP complexes. This class of snoRNAs are thought to guide the sites of modification of uridines to pseudouridines by forming direct base pairing interactions with substrate RNAs.
Source: Ensembl